Molecule: long non-coding RNA, 552 nt
Filed under: Ananas comosus (pineapple)
Lineage: Eukaryota; Viridiplantae; Streptophyta; Magnoliopsida; Poales; Bromeliaceae
Description: long non-coding RNA (ACOM_LNC010834)
Source: RNAcentral
AUAACCAUAAUCUAUAUAACUAAGUAGGACUUUGUUGGAACUGUCAAGUCUAUUCUGUCAAAAUUAACAAAAAUUUAAAUUGUUGGAAUCUUAGUAAAGAAAGAUUUAGCACCCGUUUGGUUCAGGGUUAAGGGGUAGAAUAACUCUUUAAUCCGAAAGUUAUUUCCAAACACCUAAUUUGGGGGGUGGGGUUAGCUAACCCGAGCCCAUCCCACUACUUUAAUCAAACAAAAUACUAUUUCACCCAAUAUCCUUCUUAUCCUUCCUAGUCCAACCAAACACUAUUUUAUCUAUACCUGAAUUAAACCCAAUUCUCAAUCAAACGUAAAAUUACUCUAAUCCACCUUAACCCUGAAUUUAACCCUAUUCUUGGAAUAACAAAUUUUUACAUAAGCCCAAACCAAACGGUGGCUUAAAGUUAGAGACCUAGUUAGCCAAAAAAAAAAAGAAUUUAACCCUAUUCUUGAAAUAACAAAUUUUUACAUAAGCCCGAACCAAACGGUGGUUUAAAGAUUAGAGACCUAGUUAGCCCAAAAAAAAAAAGAAAAAAAA